GACGAACGCUGGCGGCGUGCUUAACACAUGCAAGUCGAGCGGUAAGGCCCUUUCGGGGGUACACGAGCGGCGAACGGGUGAGUAACACGUGGGUGACCUGCCCUCAGCUCUGGGAUAAGCCUGGGAAACCGGGUCUAAUACUGGAUAUGACUCCAUGACGCAUGUUGUGGGGUGGAAAGCCUUGUGCGGCUGAGGAUGGGCCCGCGGCCUAUCAGCUUGUUGGUGGGGUGANGGCCUACCAAGGCGACGACGGGUANCCGGCCUGAGAGGGCGACCGGCCACACUGGGACUGAGACACGGCCCAGACUCCUACGGGAGGCAGCAGUGGGGAAUCUUGCGCGAAUGGGCGAAAGCCCUGACGCAGCGACGCCG
This 372-nucleotide ribosomal RNA is filed under the name uncultured bacterium. RNAcentral describes it as "bacterial SSU rRNA". It matches the Rfam family "Bacterial small subunit ribosomal RNA", at positions 28 to 399 of the family's 1533-position model. The record is from RNAcentral.